RNAcentral lists this unclassified non-coding RNA (203 nucleotides) under Ascomycota sp. RNAcentral's name for it is "partial contains small subunit ribosomal RNA, internal transcribed spacer 1, and 5.8S ribosomal RNA". The stretch from base 1 to 47 matches the Rfam family "Eukaryotic small subunit ribosomal RNA", at positions 1785 to 1831 of the family's 1831-position model. The record is from RNAcentral. Lineage: Eukaryota; Fungi; Ascomycota.
AAAGUCGUAACAAGGUCUCCGUUGGUGAACCAGCGGAGGGAUCAUUACCGAGUCUCGUGCUCACCCAAACCACUGUGAACCUACCCGUUGCUUCGGCGUCAUCCCGGACGGCGGCGCCGGGGACCCCAAACUCUGCAUUUGAAUGGUAUCUCGGAAAAACAUACAAGCAAAUAAAACUUUCAGCAACGGAUCUCUUGGCUCUG